RNAcentral lists this ribosomal RNA (497 nucleotides) under uncultured bacterium. RNAcentral describes it as "partial 16S ribosomal RNA". It matches the Rfam family "Bacterial small subunit ribosomal RNA", at positions 28 to 507 of the family's 1533-position model. The record is from RNAcentral.
GAUGAACGCUGGCGGCGUGCCUAAUACAUGCAAGUCGAGCGAACGGACGAGGAGCUUGCUUCUCUGACGUUAGCGGCGGACGGGUGAGUAACACGUGGAUAACCUACCUAUAAGACUGGGAUAACUUCGGGAAACCGGAGCUAAUACCGGAUAAUAUCUUGAACCGCAUGGUUCAAUAGUGAAAGACGGUCUUGCUGUCACUUAUAGAUGCAUCCCCGCUGCAUUAGCUAGUUGUUAAGGUAACGGCUUACCAAGGCAACGAUGCGUAACCGACCUGAGAGGGGGAUCGGCCACACUGGAACUGGGACACGGUCCAGACUACUACGGGAGGCAGCAGUAGGGAAUCUUCCGCAAUGGGCGGAAGCCUGACGGAGCAACGGCGAGUGAGUGAUGAAGGUCUUCGGAUCGUAAAACUCUGUUAUUAGGGAAGAACAUAUGUGUAAGUAACUGUGCACAUCUUGACGGUAACUAAUCAGAAAGCAACGGCUAACUACGUG